AAGAUUGCACAGUGGGUGACACACUGAUGCUUCUACUCCGCCAGAACGAAUAAGUAUUUCGAUAUGUAAAGCUCUAUCAGCUGGGUAGAUAUGGAAGGUACCUGACUACAACCUCUCGGCUAGCUACGUUCCCGCAGCCGCGGUAAUACGUAGGGGGCAAGCGUUAUCCGGAUUUACUGGGUGUAAAGGGAGCGUAGGUGGUUCGGUAAGUCAGAUGUGAAAGCCCGGGGCUCAACCCCGGGACUGCAUUUGAAACUAUCGAACUAGAGUGUAGGAGAGGUAAGUGGAAUUCCUAGUGUAGCGGUGAAAUGCGUAGAUAUUAGGAGGAACACCAGUGGCGAAGGCGGCUUACUGGAAUAUAACUGACACUGAGGCUCGAAAGCGUGGGGAGCAAACAGG
Molecule: ribosomal RNA, 399 nt
Filed under: uncultured bacterium
Lineage: Bacteria
Description: partial 16S ribosomal RNA
Rfam family: Bacterial small subunit ribosomal RNA
Source: RNAcentral